UGGACUUGGAGGCUGAGUUCCGCCAGAGUUGAGGUUCUCAACUUGUGUGGUGUGGUAGGGGCUCUUUAGGGGGCCGAAGGACCUUUCGCAGGGGCCUUAGACCAUCGGAAAACAUAGAUACUUACAUUACGAUUCCUAACAGCAAAUUUGCAGUUAUGAAAUAGCAACGGAAAUAGUUUUACGGUUGGGACGACCAAACAUGAGAAAUUGUAUUAGCAUUAGGAAGGUUGCGAACCACUGCUCUAGAGAAUCCCAAGAGCCAAAGCCUAGGAAGUGAGCGGGAAAAUGGGCAUUGGAAGGGGCUGGGUGAGGAAAGAACCCGGUAGUGCUUUGGAAGAUUACGAGAUGGUGUUAGGUUCAUUGUAUUUUUCUUGGGAGUCGGCCUGUUGGUAACUUGCAACGACGAAGACUCCAUUUCGAGUGCCUGGAAUAGAGCUUGCUUACAGCCCAGCGAGUCUCGAGUUAGCGCAGACAGGCUUUAAGCAAGUACAGAGAACACUGGAACAUUUACCGCUGAUUCACGCCGUCCUUGACCUCAAAGAGCGCUGACUCGGUUUCUGGGAGCGAUUUGUGAUAAAACUUGUGUAAUUAAUCAGCGAAGGGUCGAUACUCCACGCGGAGCAAAGCCUGGGUGCCCCAUUUCUGGCUACUCGGAUGAAAAUUUAGAAGUCCAGUUUCCUAAGUAGCUGCUUUUCACUUUGUGAAAUCAAGAUGUACGAGCUAUAAUCACCUUUAUCCCUAAGCCCAAGAAAUUACUAAGGCCCAUCCUUCAGUUUUCCAAACCAAGGAUGAGAGUCCUGGUCUUCCCAAAUUAUUCCUGACCUUUACAAAAUUAAAUUUGAGUCGGCCAUAGUGGCUGUAAUGCCAGCACUCGGGAGGUAGAAGUAGGAGGAUUGCUGCAAACUCAAGGUCACCCUCCUUCAAAAAUUCAAGGCCAGCCUGGAAUACCAUAGAAACUCUGUCUCUGCCACCACCUCCUCCACCUCCAACUCCGCUAAAACAAAACCAAACACAGGUUCC
RNAcentral lists this long non-coding RNA (1020 nucleotides) under Cricetulus griseus (Chinese hamster). RNAcentral describes it as "lncRNA (ENSCGRG00015042200.1)". Lineage: Eukaryota; Metazoa; Chordata; Mammalia; Rodentia; Cricetidae. The record is from RNAcentral.